Molecule: long non-coding RNA, 562 nt
Filed under: Mytilus galloprovincialis (Mediterranean mussel)
Lineage: Eukaryota; Metazoa; Mollusca; Bivalvia; Mytilida; Mytilidae
Source: RNAcentral
AGACAUAUGAGAAUACAUACUGGUGAUAAACCUUAUAAAUGUGAUAUAUGUUGUAAAGGAUUUAGGUUUAGUUCAAAUUUACAGAUUCAUAUGCGAACACACACUUGUGACCAACGUUAUAAAUGUGAUGUUUGUGGUAAUAGGUUUAUGAGUAAUUCAAAUUUACAGACUCACACAAGAACACACACUGGUGAUAAACCUUAUAAAUGUGGUGAAUGUUACAAAGAGUUUAAACAGAGCCAACAUUUACAUAGGCACAUGAGAAUACAUACUCGUGAUAAAUCUUAUAAAUGUGUUAAAUGUGGGACAGGAUUUAGUCGAACUGGUGAAUUACAAAGACACAUGAGAAUACACAUUGGUUAUAAACCUUAUAAAUGUCAAUUGUGUGAUAAAAGGUUUAGUGAUCCUUCAAAUUUACAUAGGCACAGGAAAACACACACGGGAGAUAAACCUUAUAAAUGUGUUCAAUGUGAUAAAGGGUUUAGUCAUAAUUGUAACUUACAGACGCACAUGAGAACACAUACUGGUGAUAAACCAUACACAUGUGAUGUAUGUGGUAAAG